AAAAGUCGUAACAAGGUUUCCGUAGGUGAACCUGCGGAAGGAUCAUCAACAAAAUGGAUCGAAGCCGUUUGGUCGUCCCCUUUUCGGAUGCCGCGGCCCCGGGCCUCUUUUGGUCUGAACUCUUCUUGAGCAGAGCUCUGACACGCAUUUUGUGCGAUGGUGUCCCACCUUUGGUGGUGACCACCAGCCAUUGAAAAACACAACUUUUGACAACGGAUCUCUUGGCUCUC
Molecule: unclassified non-coding RNA, 230 nt
Filed under: fungal sp.
Lineage: Eukaryota; Fungi
Description: partial internal transcribed spacer region
Rfam family: Eukaryotic small subunit ribosomal RNA (bases 1-48)
Source: RNAcentral